GGGAAUUUUCCGCAAUGGGCGAAAGCCUGACGGAGCAAUACCGCGUGAGGGAGGAAGGCUCUUGGGUUGUAAACCUCAAAACUUAGGGAAGAAAAAAAUGACGGUACCUAAUGUAAGCAUCGGCUAACUCCGUGCCAGCAGCCGCGGUAAUACGGAGGAUGCAAGCGUUAUCCGGAAUCAUUGGGCGUAAAGAGUCCGUAGGUGGCACUUCAAGUCUGCUUUCAAAGACCGAAGCUCAACUUCGGAAAGGGAGUGGAAACUGAAGAGCUAGAGUAUAGUAGGGGUAGAGGGAAUUCCUAGUGUAGCGGUGAAAUGCGUAGAGAUUAGGAAGAACACCAGUGGCGAAGGCGCUCUACUGGGCAUAUACUGACACUGAGGGACGAAAGCUAGGGGAGCGAAAGGGAUUAGAUAC
This 412-nucleotide ribosomal RNA is filed under the name Cyanobacterium sp. Oman I. Its description in RNAcentral is "bacterial SSU rRNA". It matches the Rfam family "Bacterial small subunit ribosomal RNA", at positions 357 to 785 of the family's 1533-position model. Lineage: Bacteria; Bacillati; Cyanobacteriota; Cyanophyceae; Chroococcales; Geminocystaceae. The record is from RNAcentral.